This 497-nucleotide ribosomal RNA is filed under the name uncultured bacterium. RNAcentral's name for it is "partial 16S ribosomal RNA". It matches the Rfam family "Bacterial small subunit ribosomal RNA", at positions 28 to 507 of the family's 1533-position model. The record is from RNAcentral.
GAUGAACGCUGGCGGCGUGCCUAAUACAUGCAAGUCGAGCGAACGGACGAGAAGCUUGCUUCUCUGAUGUUAGCGGCGGACGGGUGAGUAACACGUGGAUAACCUACCUAUAAGACUGGGAUAACUUCGGAAAACCGUAGCUAAUACCGGAUAAUAUUUUGAACCGCAUGGUUCAAAAGUGAAAGACGGUCUUGCUGUCACUUAUAGAUGGAUCCGCGCUGCAUUAGCUAGUUGGUAAGGUAACGGCUUACCAAGGCAACGAUGCAUAGCCGACCUGAGAGGGUGAUCGGCCACACUGGGACUGAGACACGGUCCAGACUCCUACGGGAGGCAGCAGUAGGGAAUCUUCCGCAAUGGGCGAAAGCCUGACGGAGCAACGCCGCGUGAGUGAUGAAGGUCUUCGGAUCGUAAAACUCUGUUAUUAGGGAAGAACAUAUGUGUAAGUAACUGUGCACAUCUUGACGGUACCUAAUCAGAAAGCCACGGCUAACUACGUG